AGAGCAUGGGAUGAUAUAUUCAAAGUGCUGAAAACAAACCUGCCAGAUAAGGAUACUAUACACAGUAAAGUUAUCUCUUCAGGCCUCCCAGUGAUACAUGCAGGUGUUGGUUGUAGUAGGAAGGGGUGGGGUGAUCCCCAGGCCCCUAGUGGAAUGUUCAGGUGGGGGUGGCAGUGACUGUGUGGCAUCCCCACUGCUGGAGAGGGCAGGGUUGUUUUCAGUGGCAGCAGCCACAGGCAGGCAGCUGGGAUGCAUGAACUUCAGCCCCAGGUGGUGGCUUUGGGUGGAACAGCCUGUCUGUAGAGCACUUGCCUAUGUGUAGCAGUCUCGCUACUGUGAGUGGUCAUGCAAUGACCCCAAUGGAGGCAGCCAGCAAUGAUGGCAGCUACCUAUGGGAUGUCAAUGGGGCUCCAGGGAUGUGAAGAUGAAGGGGCUGUUGAGCCCCAAGGCAGGAUGCAGUUUGGCAGUGGCUGAGCUCUCAAAAUGGCACCAUGCUGAAGCUGCUUAGGACUUGAGGUGUGCAGGGGGCCCAAUGUGAGCUCCAUCUCUGGCGCAAUGCCACUGUGCAGUUUCCAGGCAGCUCUCUAGGUUUGUCUCAGGGCAUGGGAGAGUCGAGGGGCUCUUCCAUGGCUCGGAAUGCAGGAGCUCAGAGUGGGAAUGUGGAGUGUUGGGUGUUGGGGAUCACUUACUUACCUUUUACCUGCAUUGAGAAGCCUCUUCUGGUUCCCAGCUGAUCCCAGCUGAGCAAGCUGCCUGGCUUCCUUCUCCUUCCUUUUUUUUUUUUUUUUUUUUUAGCCCCUCUUUCCUUGCCUUAGAUGUUUCCUGACACUUUUCUGUUGAAUUCCAGUUUUAUCUCUUAGAUGAUCUAUUCAAAGUGUGAUUAUCUACUUGCAAUUUUGGUUCUUCUUUGUGGAAGUGAUGAGUACCAGAACCUUUAGUCAGCCGUCUUAACCCCCCUCCCAACAAUCGGGUUUUUAUCUGCUCUGAAUAUGACAUUCAAAUGCUAGCUCUCCUCUUACUAACUCAAAUCUCUUUGUCACUACAAAGCAACCAGUUUCCAGUUUUAUCCAAGGUUUCUUCUGGUGGCAAAGACUGCUUUGUGUUCACCAGAACCCAUUUCCCCUUCUUCCUGGGCCCACAGCUACACUGCCUCCCUUUCAGUUCGGUGUGGCCAUGAGACUGAGUUCUGGCCGAUAACAUAGGAGUGGAAGUGAGGAACAUCCUUUCCAGGCCUGGCCCAUAAAAAGCUCCCAUUGAAAACUCACCAUUCGCUCUCUUCCUAUGUCUUCCUGCAGGUUGCUGACAUCUAGGAUGACUUGGGAAGUUACACGUUGAGUACAGAAGAGCCUUUCUCAGCCCAGGUUCCUGAAUGUUAUGUGUGAAGCAGAGCACUCCUGCUCUCAUAACCAAUUAGUGACUGGACAAGAAAUAAACUUCUCUUGUCUUAAGCCUUAGAAAUUUUGGAUUUGUUAACACUUCGAAUUGCCUUAACUUUUAUGACAUGCCACACAUUUUCCAUGCUCUGAACAGUGAAAGACUCAUAGAAUGUAGUGUUUAACAUGAUCUCUUUGUGAAGUGAUCAUCAAUGUAGGAUUCCUCCAAAGAAGAAACAAUGACAACUCAUCCCAUCCUCACUGAUCCUUUUAUUGCUUUUAUUGUGUGAACCUAGGAUAAAAAAUUAUUAUUAUUUUUUUCGAUAGGUUCUUGCUUUGUCCCCCAGGCUGGAGUGCAGUGGCGUGACUGUGAUUCACUGGAAUGUCUACCUGCCAGGUUCAAGUGACCCUCCCACCUCAGCCUCCUGAGUAGCUGGGACCACAGGGGUGUGCCACUAUGCCUGACUAAUUUUUGUAUUUUUUUGUAGAAAUGAAGUUUCACCAUGUUGCCCGGGGUCUUUAACUCCUGAGUGAUCUGCCUGCCUCAGCCUCCCAAAGUGCUGGGAUUGCAGGCCUGAGCCACUGUGCCUAACCUAUCUUCUAAGUACACACCUACUAAUUGCUGCAAAGAUACUUACUUUCAUUCUAAGUGUGGAUUUGGCAAAGAGCCAGAUCGUAAAUAUUUUAGGCUUUGUGAUCCACAUAUAGCUUCCGUCACCUAUUCUCCUUUGUUUGUUGUUGUUGUUUUUUAAACAAAACUUUACAAGUAUAAGAACCGUCCUUAACUCAUAUGCCUUACAAAAAUGGGCUGCAGGCUAGAUUUGGCCCACGGGUCAUGGUUUGUACCUUACAAAGUAGGCAACAGGCCAUAUUUGGCACAAAGGACCCCUAUACUGUGAGAUCAAACAACCUCAUACUCCAAUGCCUUUGUAGGCCUCUUCUAAAUAGUGCAUAUUCCAUAAUGUAUUGCAAAUGAAGCUUCUCAGGCCCACAUGUUCCAUUGGCGGAACAGCUCCUCCAGCACAGGAAUUCUUGCUCACUCCUCUUUCCUCAGGGCCACAGCACAGAGAGAAUACUCUUGAGGGAUUUUGGUAAGUGAGUCAAUACUCAAAGUGUGUGUGUUCUAGAAGGUAUUAUUUCUAAUAUUUCAGAACUUGGGUGUCACAAAGGUGGCCGUUUUGGGAAACAUAUACUAUCUACUGAAUUACUUUCUCUAGCCAGUUCCUCAGAGGGGAUGGACUGUGUAUAUUAAGAUAGGGGAGAACGGGAGUAGAAGGAGAACAGGCUUUGAAGUCAAAAGACCCCAAUUUAAAUCCUAGUCCCACCAUUUGCAAGGCAUGUGUUGUUGGAAUACCUUGGCUGAGAGUCUUUCUGGGCUUCCAUUUCCUCAUCGGAAUAAAGAGGGUCAUUUACUACACAUAACAGCUCUAUCUCAAGGGCCAAAACAAUGUUUGCCAUAUAAUAGGUGUUCGGAAGAUAGCAGUGACGGUAAAUGUAUUAACCCUAGAGACUCCUGCCGCAAGAUCAAGGAGAUUCCAAGAGACCCCAGAAAUGCAGCCUUUGAGCCAAUAUCUUACUAAUUGUCAUCAGGCUUGGGCUAGAGCAAUGGGUCUCAACCAAGGGUAAUCUUUCACCCCACAGGGCAUGUGGCAAUAUCUGGAGACAGUCAUUUUGUUUGGAAGGGGUGAUGCUAUUAUCUGGUGGGUAGGGGCCAGGGAAAUUGCUAAACAUCCUACAUGGCACAGGACAGCCCCACACAACAGAGAAUAUUCCCAUCCAAAAUGCCAAUAGCACGUAGGUUGAAAAACUCUGGAGUGGAUGAAUGAGUUCUCUCAUUUGCCCAUAAUGGGAAAGAUUCCCAGAGCCUCCCACAGGGAUCUGCGGGGUCCCCUGGGCAUGUCACAGCCCAGGAAAGUCUUACCUUGAACAACUCUGAUCUUGGCCAUCCAGUAGGAAAAUCCAGUGUAGGUACCAUCCGAGGAAGGGGUCAGCUCUGGGUACCAGAAAAGUGGAAUGUCUUGAAGGAGAGAUGGAGGCAAAGGUCAUCACCGUGUCAUCAGAUUAUCUAGAGCAGAGUAGAGAUCUUGUACUAAAGAAAACCAUCAUUAAGCCCAAAUCAUAGAUACUGGAAGAGGAAAGGCUUGGUCAGAAGUGGUGACCAGGUUUUGCUCUGUCAUAUACUUUUACCUCCUCUUCAGGGAAUGAUAAAUGAUAAUGUGGCCUUCUACUUUUGUCUUUGCAAAAAUUAAAAAUGAAUGUUUAAUGAGCUACUGCUUUCUGCUAGACCUCUAACCUUCAGGGAUGGUUUUCAGCCUGAGCAUCUCAGCUUUCCACUUCACUGGGCUCCAGACUCCUCAUGGGGAGUGUCUUUUUUCUCUAUAGGAAGAAUCCUGAUGUUGGAAAAUCUCUGCAGGGAUCUGGCACCUGGUUUAGGACAACAACAAAAAGAUCUCUAAAAUUCAACCAACAAAGGUCCAAAGGAACUAGGUUGGAACUUCUGUUCCUGAGUAAAUCUUUAAAAUUUUGGUAGAGAUAAAUGUGGAAUAAUGUAAAUAAAGCCACCUUUCAUUCAUUUUCUAGAGAUUAAUUAAGCACCUGUCAAUGCCAAGCAAGUAAGUACAGAGAGUACAGAAAUAAAGACAAACGAGUGAAAGAAUGCCUUGGUUUGCAAGGAUGACACAUGAACAGACAAUUACAAUUCAGGGCUAUGGGUGUCGAGUGGGGGUGCACUUACAUCAGGUCGCUGGUCAGAGAGUGAGAGGAGGGGCUUGGAGACUUUCCAGAGUAAAGGAAAACUGAGCUGAAUCCUGUGUUUUUCUCCCCUCUUCUUUCAUUUCCCUUUUUCUAGAUGUCUCAAUAUUGGCUCCAUUCACUGGGAAAAUGUGUACAUACCUCCAACUUCUCUCAAAGGAGUUCCUUACACUUAAAAGAAGGAAGGAAAGAAGGAAACCUAUGGCAGACCCUGUUGGGUCCCUGCCUACAUCAGGGUCCCUUGGCCCCUACCGUUGCCAUACUGGUGACCCUCACCACCAGCAACUGCAGGUCUCCACACUGGGGACUUUUUUGGUUAAGGGAUCUGCUGAGCCUGCAGAUAGGGCAGGGCAGGCAAUGCCUGGGGGUUGAUGUCCCUGGACUAACCCUGAGCCAAAGGUGAAGAAGACUUCAUGUUUCAAUGUCCUGGCUUCCUUGCCACUAGGGAGGGAGAGCUCUAGAUGCAUCCUACACCAUCUCCCAGAUGUCCCCAGUGGGAUGGCGCCUCAGCUGCUCACAGCAGUAACCUACACUGCUAUACCAUGGUAGCGUACCACACCCUACAUUAGCUUCCCUCCUCACCACCUGGCUGGUGCUCCCACUCAAAUCCCAGCCUAAGAAUCUGCUUUCGGAGAGCCCAGAUGAAGGCAAAGCAAGUGCUGAGUAAAUACACUUGCUCAUCCAGGGUUUAACCAGUGUGUGCACCUUUGGUAAGACUGUUCACAUGUCAUAGGAAAUAGAUUUUUGGCCUUCAAGUAAACCCAUGCAGUUGCAAAUGGCUUGAAGACUUAGGGGGCUAUCCUGAAAUAAGGUCACUGACAUGCCCAGGUGCCGGGAAGCUCCUCUGGGGCCAGAGGCACUGAUGUGCAGGUUGUGGGGGCCUAUUCACAGUGCUCUGCUGGACAUUUCCCAGCUGAGGCAGACCCAGGCAGAAACUGUCCCAGAGACCCAAUUGAUCUGCUGGGGCAUCGCGGCUGGCACUUCAUAAUCCAGCAUCACAGCAUAUGAUUCGGAUAUGACCCACCACAGUAGGUACAAUUUUCAUUUCCUUCCUCAUGUCCCCACUGGCAGUCCAAAAGUCAUUUAUGGCUAGUUUCAAAAUCCAUGAUAUUUUUGCAAAUGUUUAUGUGCAUAAUGUGUGUGUCUAUGUAUGGUGCUUUAUGAUCUAAUGAUGCUUUAAUUAAGUUGAUAUUCAAAUAAGCUUGAAUUCUCAGAGCUCCCUGGAGAUGCAGCUUAUGGAAUAGCAGAUGAUGGGGAAGGAUAGUCCAUGAUUAAAACAUCACAUGGGAUAAAUGCCAAAGCAAAGGUCCCACCCCAGGAGAGUUAUGAAUUGACUGCACCGCUUCUCAUCUCCACCCCCUCAAUCAUUGCUGAUGGGCAGAGGGAAACCAUUUUCUGCCAUCUGGUUUUUGCAAAAGUCAGGCAGUAAGCUCCUUGGGACAAGGAUCUUAUCUUGUAUAGUUCAACAAUGAGCACAUGGCUGUGUACACUCCAAAAGCCCUAUUAGUACUGAAUGCAAUCAUAAAAAUAGCCCAACCGUGGACCUUCGAUAACGUCCCUGCCGUCGGCUCAAACCUGAGUCACUGUGUCUGAAGGGCACUGGGUUCCCCAGGCUGAUGCCUUAUGACUUACAAAUAAGCAGCACAUCAGCUGAUAAAGUGACUGGGCCAUUAUAAAAAUCAUACAGUAGUUCCUAGGAUGCCAGAAAAACAGCCGUUAAACAACAACUUAUUUUUCCCUUGGUGUUUGAUUUUGGCAAUGUGUUCUUUUCAAAUGAGAACUAUGCCAAACAUCUUGUAUGAACCCUUCUAGUCAGCAAGUAUGUGAAUGACCUCUCUAUGGCAUGCCAGAAGCAGGGCCAGGAGAGGGGAAAGGAAGAGUUGUGGCUGAAGCAUGCUGGGCUCAGAACCCUUGCUCUGCAGGCGGAAGCCACCUCAGAGCAGCAUCCAGAAGCUGGGCAUGAACGGAACAGCUCACAGUGCACAGCAAGGUGUCACAGCCCUUCUAGGCUCACUUGUACAGGCCCCCUCGUACAGAUCUCUGUGAUUUUCAGGGUUGGCAGCCACUGAUGUUUGCUCCCCGAGGAAAAGUGCACCAACUUUAGGUGAAUGCCUCAUUGUUUGGGGAUCUGGAACUGAAUUCUCCUGCAGGACUAGCUAUGAAAUCACUAGAGGACAACAGGAGAAAGCUCAUGUAGUGCAGCUUGUGUUGGUGUGGAAAUGGACAGAUAUGCAUGCCAUCCUGGGCACAUGUGUCCAUGCCAUGUGGGAAUGGUCAGGGGAUGAACACAGCAGUCUGGGGCUAGAGGCAGACCUGGCACCAGGAUUUCCUGAGGAAGAAGUCCCCCUCCUGAGUACGUAACUUCUUUUCCCAGGCUCUCAGAAGUAGCAACACGCUGAUGCCCUGCAGCCUUUCUGGGUAGUAAGCAGGGCACGUGGAUGCUGGAAGCUGAGCUCUGUGCUGGGCCAGCCUGAGGGCAGUGAGAGAAAAAUCCCUGCAGGAAAGUCAUUCCCCAAAACAAGCCCAUCCCAGUUCCCAGCCAGCUUCUGGGGCUCCAGCCCUCAGCGCCAACUCCAUGUUCAUAUCUGAUGGCAGGGAAAUCAUCUUUCUUAAUUCCCAGGGCAAAUUGUUCCUAGGAAAGAGCAGAAUCUCAGGAGGAAAUCACAUCAUCCGCGAAGGGAGAGCCAGUUCCUUUGUACUAUUUUUCAGGGCUGCCUUUGGAGCCAAUAAUCUGUCAUUCCUUGAAUAAACAAGCACCUUAUCAUAUCACAAACAUUUAUUUAACCCUUUUCUCCUGCACUUUUACCAGCAGGGAGAAGGAAAGCAGUUACCAGGGCAGCCAGAGCCCGUGGCAGAAAUGCCAAAUUCCCUGAACAUUACACUCAAUCUGUAAAGUGUCAGCCGGCCCUUUUCUGUGCCUCCAUAAAGAACCAGUCACCCAGAUUCAAGUAUCACAUUCCGGCCUCCCACUUCCACAUCGUCCCUGCCCCAGCCUCAGCCCCAUCUCCAUUAAUACCCCACGGCCUUUUGCAGACGGGCCCUUAAUUCUGUCCAGUGGAGUCUGGGCUAAUUUGUUAGUUUUUUUUAGGGGCUGAUGGGGGGAAUAGAAGGGGGUGGAGGGAAAGGCAAAAGAGUGUUUACAUUUCUCCUUUUAAUGACAAUACACUUGACAGAGCUGUGAGUCCCAGCAUUUUGAAAUGUGUGUGUGUGUGUGUGUGUGUGUGUGAUUUUUUUAAAAAAGGCAUAUUCUUUGACUCUGACAUCACAGGAAAAUGGAAUGAGCAAAGUAUGUAAAUUUCUCCAAGCUCUCACAAUCUCCAUUUUCUCUCGGUGGAUGGAUUUUGUUUUUCUUUUCUGGUGUUGCUCCCACACAAUGGGGCCAAAUCUUGUUCAGGACAAAGAAACAUAUAAAUAGAAUAUGCAUGUGGUAUGCACGGGAACUCUUGGAGACCAGAGAGAGACUGUUUGGACGGGCGUCUGAGGGCUGCUGGGGGAACCUUGGGGUCUUGGCCUGAAGAGCUUGACAGGCAGUGUCUGUCCCCAAAGUGACAAGUCACAAAUUUCAAAAUCAUUCUUAUUCUCUGGGAAACACUAAGAAACCCUGGAAUGGGUACAAAUUUAAAAUGAGAAUGUGAAAUAUCUUUGUGUGAGUGCAUCAGAUGUAAGAUGUCAGUCUGCCUAAGAUAUUGGAUGUGUUUUACAGAGCUGAUGGGGUGGGUUUUCUUUUUGAUUCACCACGAACAAUGCUAAGUCCCGUGCAGCAUGUCACCCUCUGCAUCUGCAUCAUCUCAGUGACAUCCAGGUACUCGCUGAAGCUUAUAUCUUUCCUGUAUUAUGGAUUUGCAGUUGUUUCCGUGUCAAUCAUCCUCCAACCAAACUCUCCCCUCUUAAAAACUGCAUACUAUAGCUCUAGCCAAAAAGACUUAUCAGCGCAAGUUUGAGCAAACUAAUGUGUGCAGACCCUGAGUGGUUAUUUUUGUUUCCAAGUCUGGACAUAGAAUCACUUGUUCAAUUUCCUGCUGGGUUAUAUCAAGUGGUUUUAACAUGUAAAUCUCUGAUAAGGAAACUGACUAAUUUAUGUAGAUUACCUAUCUGAAUUGCUGUCAGGAUUGCCUUAAUUUUUUCUGCUUCCUUUACUUCUCCACUUUUUUCUCAGUUAUCAUUAUUACCAUUACCAGGACUAUCAAGUACAACCUUAUUCAGUAUAUGUUUAGAAAAUGUUCUUACUAAAACUUAAAAAAAAAAAAAAACAAACCAAAACAAACAAAAACCCUCUGCAUUCCUGAAGUGUGUGUGGGAGUUCUGUUGGUUUGGAUGUCUGUGCUUUACAACCCGAAUUCAAAAUAUAUAGCCUCUCAGACUCCGUCACGUCCUUGACAAUCAAUCAGAAGAUUGUUAUUUGUUUUAAUAAAAAAAUUUUUUAAAUGAGAAAUGAUCUGAACUACUUCCAUUUUAUUUCUAUUCCUUAACCAGCCUCACCCUACUUCAGCUGAUGGAGCUUCCCUAAUCUCUAAAUUGAAAUCCUACAAGCUGCUUGAGCACUAGAUUCUAGAACCUGCUCUGGCUAUAACAUGAAGUAAGUUGAUCCCUGUGGGAUUUUCCAUGCAGUAGCUUGAUCAAAGCUACUGGUUCCCACCCAAACCUUGCCAAAGGAACACCAAAUUGAACCACCAUCCACCAAGAAAGCACCGCCAUAAGAACCGAAAGUCAGGUGAGUGAUCACAGUACCUGUGUUUAACACCAUAGCAAGGAAAGAGGCACCGAAGAGAGAAGGAAAGACAGUGUUGAAUCGCCGACACCACCCUGCCCCCAUCCCCUGGCAGCAGCUGUGUGGCAAGGAGAGAGAAUCAAAUAAUUGUUAAUUCUAUGCCCAAAUACACAGACCGGGGUAGUGUCUUAGUCUGUUCAUGCUGCUAUAACAAAAUACCACAGACUAAUUUAUAAACAACAGAAAUUUGUUUUUCACAGUUCUGGAGGCUGGGAAGUCCAAGAUUGAGGUGCUGGCAGAUUCUGUGUCUAGUGAGGGCUGCUUUCUGCUUCCAAGAUGGCACCUUGUUGGUUCAACUUGUGAAAGAGAUGGAAGGGCAAAAGGGACCUAGCUGGUUUUCCCCAGCCCUUUUAUAAGGCACUAAUCCCAUGUAUAAGGGCAGAGCCCUCAUGGCCUAAUCACCUCCUAAAAGCCCCACCUCUUAAUGCUGUUGCCUUGGGGAUAACGUUUCAAUGUUAUUUUGUGAAUUUUGGAAGGGACACGAACAUUCAAGCCAUAGUAGGAAGACUGAGUCAACGUAAACCUGUACAGUAAUCUCCCUUAUCUGCAAUUUCACUUUCCAAGGUUUCAGUUAUCUUCAGUCAUCCAUGGUCCAAAAAUAUUAAAUGAAAAAUUCCAGAAAUAAACAAUCCAUAAAUUUUAAAUUGCGUGCCAUUCUGAGCAGCAUGAUGAAAUCUCUCGUCAUCCUGCCCAGGUCGUGAAUCAUGCCUUUGUCUAGCAUAUCCACACUGUAGAAACUCCCCACCCUUAGUCACGUAGUAGUCAUCUCAGUUCUCACAUGGAAAAAGCAUGUAUAUGUAGGGUCAGUACUACUCGAGGUUUCAGGCAUCCACUGGGAGUCUUGGAAUGUAUCCCACCACUGUAACCAAUAUCUGAUGCUAUUCUCACACCAAGCUGGUAAACCUGGCCUAAACAAAGUCCCAAGCUGCCCCCAGACUUGUGAGCUAGGGCUUUUGUCUAGAAACAAUCUUUAGUGACCCAAAGUCAAAGCUUAGGUAUCCUGUUGACUGGGCACAGCAGUAGAACCCAUCGAUUCUGGAACAUGGACCUCUAACCAGGUAGGGUUCUGCUUCCUUGUUAGGUGCCUUGAGGAAUGUGGGGCCAGGAGGGUCCUUCAGGCCUCUCCCUACACCCCAGUCCCACCCCAGCCCCCUCCUGCUGCUCCUGCAACUGCCCUACUCUCUCAGAAGCCUUGUGCUUCAGAAGUGUUUUAAGACAAGAGAGUGUGAGACUAAAUGCAAACUGGCUUCAAAAAUGACCAUUGUUUGUAUCCACUGGGAAUCCUUCAAGACCUUUCCCUCCCCUCCCUUCUCCCCACGGUGAACUUUAAGCAUUUUUAUCCAUGGAGACUAAAGACAAAGUACUGUGUCUGGCUUCUCUUCUCUUUUCCAGCCAGCCCACUUGCCAGUCUGGCUUCUCUCAUCUUUGUUUGGAUGCUCUUCUUCAUGACUCCUCGCCAAUGCACAGAUGUAAACUAUUGUCUGAUUAUUAAAAGAAAAACACAAAACACAAAAAAAGCACACAUGCCUUCAGUAUUAAUGACCAUAGAGCUGUCUGCAUAAGGUGAAGUCUGUGGUCCUGAGCAGACCACAAGCCAUCAGCCCCUGCUGCUCCAGGAACUUGUGCUUUUCUCCUAGGUUUUAUUAAAAACAAAUUUAGGCAAACACAACAGGCUCAGAAAGGAGCACCACUGUGCCCUUGAAACUUUGCUGGGCAGCCUCCAGUGGCAAGCCUUGUCUUUGUCACCUCCUCCCAGUGAAGUUCACUAUCUUUUGGCCCCCCUCAGAACUGCUGCCCCAUACUGUCCACCUCAGCCUAGUAGCCAGAGACCUCGUGUUUGGUCUUUGCCCUCAACAAGACACUUCUAGCCACACUGAGUCAUUGCUAGCUUGUUGGAAAGGUGAGAGCACUGGGUGGAGAGUCAGAGGCUGGCUUCCCUCCUACCCCUGCUGAUAGGUUGCAUGAUCCUGAGCAAGUUUCUUCUCCCUGCUCAGUAUUCUUGCCUGCAAACUAAGAGGGCUGGGCUAGACACAUUCCUUCCAUUUUUCCUUAAGCAAAUAUUUAUUUAGCUCCUGCUCUGUGCAAGACACCGAGGAUGGAACUGAAAACAGGACAAACAAGGUCCUUGCCCUCAUGUAGUAUAUGGAACAGCAGGAGAAAGUUAAAAGAAAGUAAAAGAAGACACUCUGAGCAUCCUUGUAUCUCCAGCAACCUUCAAAUGUGUCACUGAGAACAGCCGAAUGUGCUGUCGUUCUGAUUUAUUGGGGAUCAAAGUCUUUAACUAAAGAUGUGGGAUUCUUGUAUGGAUUUUCACACAUCAGCUUCAGGAAAUAAGUAAUAAGGAGGAGUUCAUGACCCUGAAAUCCCCCCUCAAUGGAUACCUGCUACACUUCUCUCCUGAAAGCCAGGUAUCUGCAGCUGUCAUCCCACUUGCUACUUUAACUGAAGGAAUUUUCAGAAGCAGCAGCCAAACAUGACACACCAGCAGCCUGUAGCUCCACCCUUCAGUGGAACUGUUAUUUUUAGGCCUCUCCUCUCUUGUCACAAGCAUCUACAUACCUCCCUGGGUGACUCAUGUUUGUGGAUAGCACCAAGCACACGUGACUUUUUCAAUGUGGGGCUGGCUUAUUUUGACAAACCCACUCUCCGUUCCAUCUCUACUUGCAAUACUCAGAAUACUGUAGUGUGGGAAAAACUGUGGGACUUCCAGUGCUCCUCAAAUGUGUGCCAUGCAGCAGGAAAACUACCCCCAGAGAAGCUGGGACAAAGCUGUCCAUGAGCCAAUGAGUUACUAGUCAUAAAGUUGAACAUAUUGUUUCCAUAUUGCUUUGCUCCACAUUCGUAGCCAUAUGACUUGACCCCAGAGUUUCAGGUACAGUAAAAUGCUCUUAUUCAUUAUGGGGCCAUGUUACCAUGCAUCAAGGUGAUAUCCUGAAAAAUCACACCUCACAUGGCUGUUAGACACUUGUGUAAGACGUGGGCUCUCAAAACAGCACAUACCGAAAUUGGAGUACUUCUAGAAGGUGUUGGGCCUGAAUCAUCCAUUUCUAUCAGAAUUUUUAGCAAUUUUUUGGUCAUAGAAAAAAAUAUUUCUGAGUCUAUAUUUCAGGCAAUAUGACAAAAAGGACAAAAACAUUGCCAUGUGGACCCAGGUCAGUGGCCUAUCUGUGUGGUGCCAGGAGGCAGAGAAGAUGAAGUUUCCCUUUCAGAUUCAGCAAGUGACUCCUUUCGUCAUAAAUCCAUUCGGUGGUGUCAUGCCACACCUCUCUCUUAUUACCUGUACACCCACUUUUUGUUUGUAUAUUGGUUUGUUUGUUUUGUUAUUUCUGGUCUUCAAUGAUCUCAGGCUCUUUCUUAUCACAAGGUAUCCUCAAGGGCUAUUACCUCUGCCCAAAAUAUAUUCACCCUGGAAUAUAUUCUUCACCCAGCUAACUCAUUCUGGUCUUAGUUUAAAGACCUUUUCUCCAGAAAAGCUGUGUCGACCCCUUUGGGGGAAGGUGGAUUUCUCUGUUUUUUCUUUCAUAGCAUCCUAUAUCUUUCCACUGUGGCAGUUCUCACAGCAGUAUUUAAAUGAUUAUUUGUUAAAAUGACUUGCUGAAUACAUGUCUUUCCCACCAGAUUUUAAACUUCAUGAAGGCAAGCCUUCUUUAUUCACUUCUACUGUUCCAAUGUCCAGCACAACACUUUGCACGUAAGAGUAUUUUUCUCAAAACCUGUGUCAAUUUGAUAAGUAUCCUUCUUCAAAUUUACAUAGAAGGAGGACAACUGAAAAGCAAUGUGGUCCAUUCCCUGUUAUAUAAACACGUGUGUUGCACUGCAGAAGCAGAAAGAAAGCAGCAAGUGUUUCUGCCCGGAAUCACAUGAGGCAAGACUCAACAGAAGAUGGAACAUUUAAGCAGGCCUUGAGGCCAACAGCUGCCCAUUGUCACUGGUUCUACCUUUAGCAGCAUCUCUCUCCUCUCCUGAUAUCCUACAAGCCUGGAAACCUGGGACUGUUCAGAGCCCCGAGAGCUAGAAUAAGUGUGCCAUGUAAUGUGGAUGGACUGGCCGCCUUAAGCAGGGCUGCACAGGAGGAAAUCUGUCUCCUCCCCGCUCUGCUGAAACACUAAAUGAAGAACUUUUUAAUUGUUACUGAGUAUCUGAGUCAUUGAAUUCCUCAGUUUUCUGGAACUGUGAUCACACAAGGCUUCGCUUUAGAACACGGAUACUCUACAUAGUAAGAAGCUACAGUUGAACUGCACAUGCCACCCUCAUUACCACUCUCAUCAAAUGCUGUAGCUUCAACUUCCUCCUUCAAUCCAGUUUAAAGACUGGGACAUGGAAAAUAAGAAAGUGUUCGGACAUUUUCAGAAUGGAAUAACGCGUGUGAAGGGCGGGGUCCUGAUGCAGUGGCCACAGGCACACCUGAAGGUGUAGAUUUUCUUUUUGGGACAAAGACUCCCUAUUGUCCUUCAAAAAAAAAAAUCUUAUCAUAUUUUAAUUAUAUCACCCAGGAAAAUAGACUGUCCUGGAAAACAAAAGUCACCAGCCUCUGCUAAAGCUGGAGUCUUUAGGGGUAAAAUCAGGGGCACAGGUCAAACAUAGUUUUCGGUGACCUAUGUCUGCAAGGCAGUCAGAAGCAAUAAACUGUGCAGGGUUGAUUAAGCUUGAUGAUAUCAAUGUACUCUAUUGAGUAUUGAAAUAUUGAAAUAUUUGUGAUGUUAUCUAUUUAUUUGUAUUGUUCCAUGGGUAUGUAUCUCCUAUUUGCUUUCAUCAGAGAUUCAGAGGACAGUCCUCAAAAUGAAAAGAUUCUUGUAGUUGUUUUCUGAAACAUCCAAGAAGUACCUGGAAAGACAAAGGGAACAAAUAACUACUACUAUUAAUCAUUGGACGCUGAUAAUGUGCUAAAGGUGAUAUCUUAUUCACAACUGCACCAUGUAAGUGAUCAUCCAACAUUCUUCAGUGUUGUACUCAAGGCUCAGAGAGGGUAAGAAACUUGCCAGAGUCAUCCAGCAAGCAAGGAUCAAAUCUGGGAUUCAAAACAGGCCCCGAAGCCUCCAGAGCCUAGAGUGGGAGCUGGCACUGACAUGAGGACGGGAGAGUGGAAAAAGAAUCCUAGGAUUCCUGCAACGAAGCAGGUCUGGUCCCGACAAGGGGCCCCAGGCCUCACAGGGGGACUUGCCCAGUGAACACAGGGUGCCGGGAACUCCGUACCUCCCUCCUGCAGCCCGCAAUUUUCCAUCACCAUUGGAGAGCUGUUUGAAAUACUACAGCUCCAAUCCCCAUGACCCUCUUGAAAUUCCUCCACCAUCCCUGAGGCCUCCCAGUCCCAGUGUGGGAAAUUCUGCUUUAGAGGGAUGUUAUGAAUAUUAAGGAACAAGUGAUUAUUAACCUUUUGGCAAACAUACAGUCCUAUAGAAAUGUUAACCGUAUGUUCCCAUUUAACUUCAUUUAUAGCACUUGGACGACACUAAGACAUUUGCCUCUUGUUUAGGACUUAUACUAGUCAGAAUUUGCAAAGAAAUCAUUAGGCACUUCCUACAUAAGGCAUAAGAGACGCUGUCUACAUCUUCGUGCCUUCUGAUCCAGAGGGUUUGGUUUGGUUUGGUUUUUGCUUUGAAUAAUACCCUGUAGUUGACUGAGUCUGUUACAAAUAAUCUCUUAAUUAUGUGACUUACUCCACUCAAAAGACUUCAGCAAUUCACCAUUCCUCUGAGACCAUUUACAGGUUAUUAAAAAAUCUAAGUUCCGUAUAGUUGGCCUUCAACUUGGAUGUUAAGCUUGACAUGAUUCCUUUCCACGUGUUUUCAUUUUCUUCUGCGACAGCACCUCCUGCCCCCCAGAAUAGUGCAUUUAUCUCCCAAAUUCAAUCAUCUAUAUUAACUGGGGACCUGCUAUCUGGAUAAGUGAUAUCCACAAGUGUUCCAAGAAACUUUAAUAUUAAUAACUUUAUCGCAAUCAAUAGUUCCAAAUUCAUCAGACAGGAUUUCACUAGAGUUGCCAAAAAGGAAUACAAUUUAACUGCUCUGAGAGCCUUCACCCUGUUCUCAUCCCGUGUUUCCAUGGAAGAUGCAAAGAACAGAGACACACGAGAAAGGUGGACAGGCAGAGUCAAGAAUGAAACGGAAUGAGGUCUCUGUCAACAAGCUGGAUAAUGUCCAUUUCCCUGAGCUUGAGUCUGUUCCUCUCUGUUCCUCCUUCUGUUUUUUCUCUCUCCUCACUGGAGUGCUAAUGAAUACCUUCCACUGCUCUGGAAUGCCAUUAUGUUGUGAUUGUCCUCCCUUGCGAGGUCUUUGCAGAGGCCACGAUGAGACCGGUCUCAUCCACGGCUUUGUGUCCUCCUCCCUGAUACAGUCCCCAAAGGCCCUCUCCACUCAGGGCUCAAGUUCCACUCACUGGGUGGGUCAUACCCCCAGCCCUGUAAAAUGUUUCUGAAGGAUUGGGGCUCUGACAUACCUCACCCAAAUCUUUUGCAUCUUUAAUAAACGAAGUUAGUACCAA
This is a long non-coding RNA of Homo sapiens (human), 15372 nucleotides long. RefSeq lists it as uncharacterized. Lineage: Eukaryota; Metazoa; Chordata; Mammalia; Primates; Hominidae. The transcript is spliced from 3 exons. The record is from RefSeq and is a predicted model, not a curated record.